This 492-nucleotide ribosomal RNA is filed under the name uncultured bacterium. RNAcentral's name for it is "partial 16S ribosomal RNA". It matches the Rfam family "Bacterial small subunit ribosomal RNA", at positions 29 to 507 of the family's 1533-position model. The record is from RNAcentral.
AGUGAACGCUGGCGGUAGGCCUAACACAUGCCAGUCGAACGGCAGCACAGUAAGAGCUUGCUCUUACGGGUGGCGAGUGGCGGACGGGUGAGGAAUACAUCGGAAUCUACUUUUUCGUGGGGGAUAACGUAGGGAAACUUACGCUAAUACCGCAUACGACCUACGGGUGAAAGCAGGGGAUCCUCGGACCUUGGGCGAUUGAAUGAGCCGAUGUCGGAUUAGCUAGUUGGCGGGGUAAAGGCCCACCAAGGCGACGAUCCGUAGCUGGUCUGAGAGGAUGAUCAGCCACACUGGAACUGAGACACGGUCCAGACUCCUACGGGAGGCAGCAGUGGGGAAUAUUGGACAAUGGGCGCAAGCCUGAUGCAGCCAUACCGCGUGGGUGAAGAAGGCCUUCGGGUUGUAAAGCCCUUUUGUUGGGAAAGAAAAGCAGCAGGUUAAUACCCCGCUGUUCUGACGGUACCCAAAGAAUAAGCACCGGCUAACUUCGUG